This 468-nucleotide ribosomal RNA is filed under the name uncultured bacterium. RNAcentral describes it as "partial 16S ribosomal RNA". It matches the Rfam family "Bacterial small subunit ribosomal RNA", at positions 28 to 507 of the family's 1533-position model. The record is from RNAcentral.
GACGAACGCUGGCGGCGUGCUUAACACAUGCCAGUCGAACGGAAAGGCCCUGCUUUUGUGGGGUGCUCGAGUGGCGAACGGGUGAGUAACACGUGAGUAACCUGCCCUUGACUUUGGGAUAACUUCAGGAAACUGGGGCUAAUACCGGAUAGGAGCUCCUGCUGCAUGGUGGGGGUUGGAAAGUUUCGGCGGUUGGGGAUGGACUCGCGGCUUAUCAGCUUGUUGGUGGGGUAGUGGCUUACCAAGGCUUUGACGGGUAGCCGGCCUGGGAGGGUGACCGGCCACAUUGGGACUGAGAUACCGCCCAGAAUUCUACGGGAGGCAGCAGUGGGGAAUAUUGCAAAAUGGGCGGAAGCCUGAUGCAGCAACGCCGGGUGCGGGAUGACGGCCUUCGGGUUGUAAACCGCUUUCGCCUGUGACGAAGCGUGAGUGACGGUAAUGGGUAAAGAAGCACCGGCUAACUACGUG